GGUUUUGGUUCAGUGGUAGAGUGCUUGCCUACCAUGUGCAAGGCCCUGGGUUCGAUCCUCAGCACCA
This 67-nucleotide transfer RNA is filed under the name Marmota monax (woodchuck). RNAcentral describes it as "tRNA.Gly". The record is from RNAcentral. Lineage: Eukaryota; Metazoa; Chordata; Mammalia; Rodentia; Sciuridae.